UUAAUGAGGGGCGUCAACUGCCCAGACGCCUGGGCCUCCUCCCCUGCCUUCAUUACCUCUUCAUCUAUCCCUUGAAUGUCUUGCAUCUGUUUGAAGCCUGCAGGUCUAGUUACACGUCUUGAUCCAACUGAUGAGGCAAUGAUUGCACGUAUUUCAUAAGCGAUCUUGGUUAACCUUCGUCGGCAGAAAUUAGGACUAAGGUCAAUGUCCAGGUCUGCCUCCGAGACCUCCUCUGCAAAGAAGUUCUGAGAGGGGUCAAGGUCGUCGAAGGGGAACUGGGUUGUGACAUUUUCCUCCAGGUGAUGGAAGCCAUCAGAGAUGCUGCCAUGAU
Saccostrea cuccullata (small rock oyster) is the source of this 331-nucleotide long non-coding RNA. RefSeq lists it as uncharacterized. The record is from RefSeq and is a predicted model, not a curated record. The transcript is spliced from 3 exons. NCBI's taxonomy places the organism in Eukaryota, Metazoa, Mollusca, Bivalvia, Ostreida, Ostreidae.